GACGAACGCUGGCGGCGUGCUUAACACAUGCAAGUCGAACGGUAAGGCCCUUCGGGGUACACGAGUGGCGAACGGGUGAGAAACACGUGGGUGAUCUGCCCUGCACUUCGGGAUAAGCCUGGGAAACUGGGUCUAAUACCGGAUAGGACCACUGCCUGCAUGGGUGGUGGUGGAAAGCUUUUGCGGUGUGGGAUGGGCCCGCGGCCUAUCAGCUUGUUGGUGGGGUGAUGGCGUACCAAGGCGACAACGGGUAGCCGGCCUGAGAGGGUGACCGGCCACACUGGGACUGAGAUACGGCCCAGACUCCUACGGGAGGCAGCAGUGGGGAAUAUUGCACAAUGGGCGCAAGCCUGAUGCAGCGACGCCGCGUGAGGGAUGACGGCCUUCGGGUUGUAAACCUCUUUCAGCACCGACGAAGCGCAAGUGACGGUAGGUGCAGAAGAAGGACCGGCCAACUACGUGCCAGCCGCCGCUGUAA
RNAcentral lists this ribosomal RNA (478 nucleotides) under uncultured bacterium. RNAcentral's name for it is "partial 16S ribosomal RNA". It matches the Rfam family "Bacterial small subunit ribosomal RNA", at positions 28 to 523 of the family's 1533-position model. The record is from RNAcentral.